UACUCCUACGGGAGGCAGCAGUGGGGAAUUUUGGACAAUGGGCGAAAGCCUGAUCCAGCCAUGCCGCGUGCAGGAUGAAGGCCUUCGGGUUGUAAACUGCUUUUGUACGGAACGAAAAGACUCUUUCUAAUAAAGAGGGUCCAUGACGGUACCGUAAGAAUAAGCACCGGCUAACUACGUGCCAGCAGCCGCGGUAAUACGUAGGGUGCAAGCGUUAAUCGGAAUUACUGGGCGUAAAGCGUGCGCAGGCGGUUAUGUAAGACAGAUGUGAAAUCCCCGGGCUCAACCUGGGAACUGCAUUUGUGACUGCAUAGCUAGCGUACGGUAGAGGGGGAUGGAAUUCCGCGUGUAGCAGUGAAAUGCGUAGAUAUGCGGAGGAACACCGAUGGCGAAGGCAAUCCCCUGGACCUGUACUGACGCUCAUGCACGAAAGCGUGGGGAGCAAACAGGAUUAGAUACCCUGGUAGUCCACGCCCUAAACGAUGUCAACUGGUUGUUGGGUCUUCACUGACUCAGUAACGAAGCUAACGCGUGAAGUUGACCGCCUGGGGAGUACGGCCGCAAGGUUGAAACUCACAGGAAUUGACGGGGACCCGCACAAGCGGUGGAGCAUGUGGA
RNAcentral lists this ribosomal RNA (618 nucleotides) under uncultured bacterium. Its description in RNAcentral is "bacterial SSU rRNA". It matches the Rfam family "Bacterial small subunit ribosomal RNA", at positions 334 to 945 of the family's 1533-position model. The record is from RNAcentral.